Molecule: ribosomal RNA, 266 nt
Filed under: uncultured bacterium
Lineage: Bacteria
Description: partial small subunit ribosomal RNA
Rfam family: Bacterial small subunit ribosomal RNA
Source: RNAcentral
AGGACGAACGCUGGCGGCGUGCCUAACACAUGCAAGUCGAACGGGACUGGGGGCAACUCCAGUUCAGUGGCAGAUGGGUGCGUAACACGUGAGGAACUUGUCCGACGGCGGGGGAUAGCCGGCCCAACGGCCGGGUAAUACCGCGUACGCUCAUUUGGGGACAUCCCGUGGGGUGAGGAAAGCAGCCGCAAGGUUGCGCCGAUGGAGAGCCUCGCGGCGUAUCAGCUAGUUGGCGGGUAAUGGCCCACAAGGCUACGACGCGUAGC